This 2915-nucleotide ribosomal RNA is filed under the name Guopingia tenuis. RNAcentral describes it as "23S ribosomal RNA". It matches the Rfam family "Bacterial large subunit ribosomal RNA". The record is from RNAcentral. Lineage: Bacteria; Bacillati; Bacillota; Clostridia; Christensenellales; Christensenellaceae.
GAUCAAGCUAAAAAGAGCGUAGGGCGAAUGCCUUGGCAUCAAGAGCCGAAGAAGGACGUGGUAAGCUGCGAAAAGCCAUGGGGAGCUGCAAGCAAACAUUGAUCCAUGGAUGUCCGAAUGGGGAAACCCGGCAGUUGUAAUUAGCUGUCAACAUGCACUGAAUUCAUAGGUGUAUGUGGGGAACCCGGUGAACUGAAACAUCUAAGUAGCCGGAGGAAAGGAAAUCAAAAGAGAUUCUCUCAGUAGCGGCGAGCGAACGGGGAAGAGCCCAAACCAUUUGUCUUCGGACGAAUGGGGUUGUGGGCCAGCGUAAGUGAUCAGAGGUAUCUAGUUGAAGACGGUUGGAAAGCCGCACCAAAGAAGGUAAAAGUCCUGUAAACGAAAGAGAAGACUGCACGGCUGGUACCAGAGUACCACCGGACACGAGGAACCCGGUGGGAAGCAGGGGGGACCACCCUCCAAGGCUAAAUACUACUUGAUGACCGAUAGCGGAAUAGUACCGUGAGGGAAAGGUGAAAAGGACCCCGGGAGGGGAGUGAAAGAGAACCUGAAACCCUAUGCUUACAAACAGAUGAAGCACUAUUAGAGAGUGUGACAUCGUACUUUUUGUAGAACGGGCCAGCGAGUUACGUUAUGCAGCGAGGUUAAGGCGUUAAGCGCCGGAGCCGCAGGGAGACCGAGUCUGAAUAGGGCGCAAAAGUUGCAUGAUGUAGACCCGAAACCGGGCGACCUAUCCAUGAGCAGGUUGAAGCGGUGGUAAGACACCGUGGAGGACCGAACCAGACGCAUGUUGAAAAAUGCGGGGAUGACUUGUGGAUAGCGGAGAAAUUCCAAUCGAGCUCGGAGAUAGCUGGUUCUCCUCGAAAUAGCUUUAGGGCUAGCCUCACUGGAAGAUAUGCGGAGGUAGAGCACUGAAUGGGCUAGGGGGCCUCAAAGCUUACCGAACCCUAUCAAACUCCGAAUGCCGUAUAUUAGUAAGUGGGAGUCAGACUACGAGAGAUAAGUUCCGUGGUCAAAAGGGAAACAGCCCAGAUCAUCAGCUAAGGCCCCAAAGUGCAGGUUAAGUGGAAAAGGAUGUGGGACUGCUUAGACAACUAGGAUGUUGGCUCAGAAGCAGCCACUCAUUUAAAGAGUGCGUAAUAGCUCACUAGUCGAGUGGUCUUGCGCCGAAAAUGUCCGGGGCUAAAACCUGCCGCCGAAGCUAUGGAUUCCGUAAGGAGUGGUAGAGGAGCAUCGUAUGCGGAUAGAAGCCAUACCGAGAGGAGUGGUGGACUGCAUAGGAGAGAGAAUGCUGGCAUGAGUAGCGAGAGGAAGGUGAGAAUCCUUCCCAUCGAAAGCCUAAGGUUUCCUGGGGAAGGCUCGUCCUCCCAGGGUAAGUCGGGACCUAAGCCGAGGACUAGAUGGUCGUAGGCGAUGGACAACAGGUUGAUAUUCCUGUACUACCUUGUAGACGUUAUACUGAGGCAGUGACACAGGAGGAUAGGCUGAGCGGGUUGAUGGUAGAGCCCGUCCAAGCAGUAAGGCUUGUGGGGUAGUGAAGUACGCUCCACUGUAAGGCUGAGCUGUGAUGGGGACAGAAAACAAGUAUGGAAGCAGCCAAAUCCACACUGGCGAGAAAAACUGCUAGGAAGGAAACAAGGUACCCGUACCGCAAACCGACACAGGUAGGCGAGGAGAGAAUCCUAAGAUGAGCGAGAUAACCCUUGUUAAGGAACUCGGCAAAAUGACCCCGUAACUUCGGGAAAAGGGGUGCCACGAAAGUGGUCGCAGAGAAUAGGCCCAAGCGACUGUUUAGCAAAAACACAGGUCUGUGCGAAAUCGAGAGAUGAAGUAUACGGGCUGACGCCUGCCCAGUGCCGGAAGGUUAAGGGGAAAUGUUAGCGCAAGCGAAGCAUGGAACUUAAGCCCCGGUGAACGGCGGCCGUAACUAUAACGGUCCUAAGGUAGCGAAAUUCCUUGUCAGGUAAGUUCUGACCCGCACGAAUGGCGUAACGAUUUGGGCGCUGUCUCAACAAGGGACUCGGCGAAAUUGUAGUACCGGUGAAGAUGCCGGUUACCCGCGAUAGGACGGAAAGACCCCGUAGAGCUUUACUGCAACUUGGCAUUGGAUCUCGGCAUUGGAUGUACAGAAUAGGUGGGAGACGGAGAACCUAGGACGCCAGUCUUAGGGGAGUCACCUUUGGGAUACCACUCUUCUGAUGUUGGGACUCUAACACUGUGCCGUAAUCCGGGCAGUGGACAGUACCAGGUGGGCAGUUUGACUGGGGCGGUCGCCUCCGAAAGAGUAACGGAGGCGCCCAAAGGUUUCCUCAGCAUGGUCGGAAAUCAUGCGUAAGAGUGCAAAGGCAUAAGGAAGCUUGACUGCGAGAGAGACAUUUCGAGCAGGUACGAAAGUAGGGCUUAGUGAUCCGGCGGUAUGAGAGUGGAAUUGCCGUCGCUCAACGGAUAAAAGCUACCUCGGGGAUAACAGGCUUAUCUCCCCCAAGAGUCCACAUCGACGGGGAGGUUUGGCACCUCGAUGUCGGCUCGUCGCAUCCUGGGGCUGUAGUAGGUCCCAAGGGUUUGGCUGUUCGCCAAUUAAAGCGGCACGCGAGCUGGGUUCAGAACGUCGCGAGACAGUUCGGUCCCUAUCCAUCGUGGGCGUAAGAAGUUUGAGAGGAGCUGUCCUUAGUACGAGAGGACCGGGAUGGACGCACCUCUGGUGUACCAGUUGUUCUGCCAAGGGCAUAGCUGGGUAGCUAAGUGCGGAAGGGAUAAACGCUGAAGGCAUCUAAGCGUGAAGCCCCCCUCAAGAUAAGACUUCUCAUCCUUUAAGGAGUAAGACCCCUUGUAGACUAUGAGGUUGAUAGGUCGCAGGUGGAAGUGCAGUAAUGUAUGCAGCUGAGCGAUACUAAUAGGUCGAGGGCUUGAUCAAA